GAGAAUUAAUUUACGGAUUAAGGAAACCGGCGCACGGGUGCGUAACGCGUAUGCAACUUGCCCUUAUCAGGAGGAUAGCCCGGGGAAACUCGGAUUAAUACUCCAUAAGAUUUUGAUUGGCAUCGAUUAAAAUUGAAAGAUUUAUUGGAUAAGGAUAGGCAUGCGUCAGAUUAGUUAGUUGGUAGUGUAACGGACUACCAAGGCGAUGAUCUGUAGGGGGCCUGAGAGGGUGAACCCCCACACUGGUACUGAGACACGGACCAGACUCCUACGGGAGGCAGCAGUGAGGAAUAUUGGACAAUGGAGGGAACUCUGAUCCAGCCAUCCCGCGUGCAGGAAGACGGCCCUAUGGGUUGUAAACUGCUUUUGUAUGGGGAUAAAUCUACCUACGUGUAGGUAGUUGAAGGUACCAUACGAAUAAGCAUCGGCUAACUCCGUGCCAGCAGCCGCGGUAAUACGGAGGAUGCAAGCGUUAUCCGGAUUCAUUGGGUUUAAAGGGUCCGUAGGCGGGCUGAUAAGUCAGUGGUGAAAUUUUGUCGCUCAACGAUAAAACUGCCAUUGAUACUGUUAGUCUUGAGUGAUAUUGAAGUAGCUGGAAUGUGUAGUGUAGCGGUGAAAUGCAUAGAUAUUACACAGAACACCGAUUGCGAAGGCAGGUUACUAAGUAUUAACUGACGCUGAAGGACGAAAGCGUGGGGAGCGAACAGGAUUAGAUACCCUGGUAGUCCACGCAGUAAACGAUGCUAA
RNAcentral lists this ribosomal RNA (747 nucleotides) under Ornithobacterium rhinotracheale. RNAcentral's name for it is "bacterial SSU rRNA". It matches the Rfam family "Bacterial small subunit ribosomal RNA", at positions 68 to 815 of the family's 1533-position model. The record is from RNAcentral. Lineage: Bacteria; Pseudomonadati; Bacteroidota; Flavobacteriia; Flavobacteriales; Weeksellaceae.